GAAAUAUAAUAAGUAGUAUAAAUUAUAAAAUUUAGUAAAUUAUUAAAUCUUUAAACGCAUAUUACGUUUCUUAGUAUUUUAUAGAGUAUGCCUAUUUAAGUGUUAUUUACACCCUUAAGCUCUACUUAGUAUUAGGCGUCUAUUCUACCCCCGCGCGUAGACUCGCCCUAAAUCUAUUAGUAGCGUUUUUUACCCCCUUUUACGCAGCAUAUUAUGCUUCUUAAAAACGGCUCUAAAACGUAAUUUAGUAAAAUAACCACCGUCUUUAACCUUAGAUUAGGUAGAAAUACUUACUAAACUUAAGC
RNAcentral lists this unclassified non-coding RNA (305 nucleotides) under plant metagenome. RNAcentral describes it as "partial contains 5.8S ribosomal RNA, internal transcribed spacer 2, and large subunit ribosomal RNA". The record is from RNAcentral.